This is a long non-coding RNA of Mauremys reevesii (Reeves's turtle), 522 nucleotides long. RefSeq lists it as uncharacterized. Lineage: Eukaryota; Metazoa; Chordata; Testudines; Geoemydidae. The transcript has 3 exons. The record is from RefSeq and is a predicted model, not a curated record.
GAAUUUUGAUCACAACUUAAUGAUAUGCCUAGGCAGGCUCCAGUACAGAAGGUCCAACCCCCCACGCUCAUACCAGGGCAAGGAGCGACCAUCCACUCACACUAGAAUUCAUUUCAAUGUGGGCAGAGGGAAGCCCCUUUUUCUCAACCACUUUUGUGAAAACAUUGAUCGAAAGCUGACGAGCUCUAGGAAAAGUUUUUGCUUUUCAUUCCUGCAUAUGUUGGACUCCCGCCAGGCCUGGGGAACCCUGCCCAUGGCAUUCCAUCAAUAACCACCCAGUAAGUUUCUAUGACCAUUCUCCUCACCCAGCAGUACAGCCACAUGGAUUGCUCCCCGAGCAACAGAGUAUGGAAUCAGAAGAGAGCGGGCGGCUUAGGAGACAAUGCGCCAGGCGGGAUCCAGUCCAGCUCUCUGUUCCACAAACCUCUCAGUGAGCCAAACAGCUCGGCCUUGGAAGGCUGCAAGUACACAGAGGCUCCAGGCAGGGACAGGAGGACAUGCUGAGAGUCACCUUCCCCACCA